RNAcentral lists this long non-coding RNA (288 nucleotides) under Elaeis guineensis (African oil palm). Its description in RNAcentral is "long non-coding RNA (EGUI_LNC038384)". Lineage: Eukaryota; Viridiplantae; Streptophyta; Magnoliopsida; Arecales; Arecaceae. The record is from RNAcentral.
CCAAAUGGGGCAGAUUUUAUCCAAUCUGAUUGGAAUCCGAGGCGGGUUUAGGUUUAAUAAAAGUACUCGAGGUGGGUUUAGAUCAGCUAUAGAUAAUGAUAUAUCCCAUCUUAAAACCAACUCGAUAUAAUCUUAAUCUAAAUUACUCUUUCAAAAUUAUAAUUAUUUUAUAAUAUUUAUAUAAUGAGUUCCUUAUCUGAUCCAACCAUUCUUGUCUAUCCGAUCUAAUUAGACCCAAGGUGGAUAUAGAGCGAGUACAGGUAUGAGAUUUUUAAUUGUGAGGUAGAC